Molecule: long non-coding RNA, 454 nt
Filed under: Homo sapiens (human)
Lineage: Eukaryota; Metazoa; Chordata; Mammalia; Primates; Hominidae
Description: non-protein coding lnc-IGFBP3-4:13
Source: RNAcentral
AAAAGACUGUACAGGUGGAACAAUCCAAAGUUUUAAUCAAAGAAGGUGGUAUUCAGUUGCUGCUUACAAUAGUUGAUACCCCAGGAUUUGGAGAUGCAGUGGAUAAUAGUAAUUGCUGGCAGCCUGUUAUCAAUUACAUUGAUAGUAAAUUUGAGGACUACCUAAAUGCAGAAUCGCAAGUGAACAGAUGUCAGAUGCCUGGUAACAGGGUGCACUGUUGUUUAUACUUCAUUGCUCCUUCAGGACAUGGACCGUUACAUAACUGAAGACUCCCACCUUCAGGCAGGAUUGGGUAGUACAUGUUUGUAACUACCUGGCAUUGCCUUUUGUUGAGACUUAAACCAUUGGAUAUUGAGUUUACAAAGCAUUUGCAUGAAAAAGUGAAUAUCAUCCCACUUAUUGCCAAAGCAGACACACUCAUGCCAGAGGAAUGCCAACAGUUUAAAAAACAGGU